This 187-nucleotide ribosomal RNA is filed under the name uncultured bacterium. RNAcentral describes it as "partial 16S ribosomal RNA". It matches the Rfam family "Bacterial small subunit ribosomal RNA", at positions 1318 to 1500 of the family's 1533-position model. The record is from RNAcentral.
GCAUGAAGUUGGAAUUGCUAGUAAUCGCGGAUCAGCACGCCGCGGUGAAUACGUUCCCGGGCCCUGUACACACCGCCCGUCACACCAUGGAAGUCUGCAAUGCCCGAAGCCGGUGGCCUAACCACUUAUGUGGAAGGAGCCGUCUAAGGCAGGGCAGAUGACUGGGGUGAAGUCGUAACAAGGUAGC